CAGCCGCCACGGGAAUACGUAGGGUGCAAGCGUUAAUCGGAAUUACUGGGCGUAAAGCGUGCGCAGGCGGUUAUAUAAGACAGAUGUGAAAUCCCCGGGCUCAACCUGGGAACUGCAUUUGUGACUGUAUAGCUAGAGUACGGCAGAGGGGGAUGGAAUUCCGCGUGUAGCAGUGAAAUGCGUAGAUAUGCGGAGGAACACCGAUGGCGAAGGCAAUCCCCUGGGCCUGUACUGACGCUCAUGCACGAAAGCGUGGGGAGCAAACAGGAUUAGAUACCCCUGUAGUCCCUGUCUCUUAUAA
Molecule: ribosomal RNA, 301 nt
Filed under: uncultured bacterium
Lineage: Bacteria
Description: partial 16S ribosomal RNA
Rfam family: Bacterial small subunit ribosomal RNA
Source: RNAcentral